This 83-nucleotide transfer RNA is filed under the name Danio rerio (zebrafish). It matches the Rfam family "tRNA". From Rfam's summary of the family: Transfer RNA (tRNA) molecules are approximately 80 nucleotides in length. Their secondary structure includes four short double-helical elements and three loops (D, anti-codon, and T loops). Lineage: Eukaryota; Metazoa; Chordata; Actinopteri; Cypriniformes; Danionidae. The record is from Rfam by way of RNAcentral.
GUCAGGAUGGCUGAGUGGUCUAAGGCGCUUCGUUCAGGUAUAAGUCUCCAUUGAAGGAGUGGGUUCAAAUCCUGCUUCUGACA